ACAGGUGGCAUGGGGAGCAGCUAGA
This 25-nucleotide non-coding RNA is filed under the name Cricetulus griseus (Chinese hamster). The record is from RNAcentral. Lineage: Eukaryota; Metazoa; Chordata; Mammalia; Rodentia; Cricetidae.